Non-coding RNA from Gossypium hirsutum (cotton), 86 nucleotides. Lineage: Eukaryota; Viridiplantae; Streptophyta; Magnoliopsida; Malvales; Malvaceae. The record is from Rfam.
CACAUCAGUGUGCUUUGAUGACAUGGCAACAAAUCGCCCCUUGUGGACGCGAUUUGUUGCCACAUUAGCAAAGCGCGCUGAUGUGG